UACAGAGGGUGCGAGCGUUGUCCGGAAUCACUGGGCGUAAAGGGCGCGUAGGCGGUUCGCUAAGCGUGCGGUGAAAGCUCGGGGCUCAACCCCGAGUCGGCCGUGCGAACUGGUGGACUCGAGCACUGUAGAGGCAGAUGGAAUUCCGGGUGUAGCGGUGGAAUGCGUAGAGAUCCGGAAGAACACCGGUGGCGAAGGCGGUCUGCUGGGCAGUGGCUGACGCUGAGGCGCGACAGCGUGGGGAGCAAACAGG
This 253-nucleotide ribosomal RNA is filed under the name uncultured prokaryote. Its description in RNAcentral is "partial 16S ribosomal RNA". It matches the Rfam family "Bacterial small subunit ribosomal RNA", at positions 524 to 776 of the family's 1533-position model. The record is from RNAcentral.